Molecule: non-coding RNA, 613 nt
Organism: Anas platyrhynchos (mallard)
Lineage: Eukaryota; Metazoa; Chordata; Aves; Anseriformes; Anatidae
Source: RefSeq, a predicted model, not a curated record
AUAACCUACAUGGCCUCCUUGCUUUUGUUCCCAUUAUUUUGCAUUGCAGUGUGUGCUUAUCAUGCUGUUGUCAGUGGUUCUAGUUGUAUCUAUGCUGAUAUUGAGCCCAAAGAAUGGGCUCAGCAUGUCCCUCUGGCAAAUCUUUUUGUGCAAUGUAGGUUUGUUUUUUUGCUAUGUUGACUUUGGUUUGGAACUGCAAUCAUUUCAUGGAUUUUUAUUUACUUACAUAUUUCAAGUAAAUACUUUCUUUAUCGCAGCAGACACAUCUAACUUUCAACUUCAUAUCAAUCUGACUUGUUAGAAGUCAUCAACCUGUUAUUCUGAAUUAGCUAACUACAGUAUUUCUGUAGGAAGAGGAUGCAGAAGUGGAAGGCAUGCUAUAUUAGACACUACGAACAUUUUGUCAUGGAAUCAGUGUUGAUGCCAUAGCAAGGAGUCCAGAAACUAGACUUGAUGCUUUACCUCCCCAGAUAAGGUUUUGUACAGCAGCUUCUGAUAGGAAGUUAAGGCUAUUUACUUCAGACCUGCAGGACAAGAAUGAAUAUAAGACAUUUGAUGGCCACUCAGAUUACAUUAAUGAUCUGGUGUUUUCUCCCAAAGAAGGUCAAGAAGU